GCAGAAUAUCUGAUAUACGGUCCUGUGAU
RNAcentral lists this non-coding RNA (29 nucleotides) under Rattus norvegicus (Norway rat). The record is from RNAcentral. Lineage: Eukaryota; Metazoa; Chordata; Mammalia; Rodentia; Muridae.